CGUGAGAUGUUGGGUUAAGUCCCGCAACGAGCGCAACCCCUAUUGUUAGUUGCUACGCAAGAGCACUCUAGCGAGACUGCGUUGACAAAACGGAGGAAGGUGGGGACGACGUCAAAUCAUCAUGCCCCUUAUGUCCUGGGCUACACACGUAAUACAAUGGCGGUCAACAGAGGGAUGCGAUACCGCAAGGUGGAGCGAACCCCUAAAAGCCGUCCCAGUUCAGAUUGUGGGCUGCAACCCGCCCACA
This 247-nucleotide ribosomal RNA is filed under the name uncultured bacterium. RNAcentral's name for it is "partial 16S ribosomal RNA". It matches the Rfam family "Bacterial small subunit ribosomal RNA", at positions 1066 to 1320 of the family's 1533-position model. The record is from RNAcentral.